Molecule: ribosomal RNA, 316 nt
Filed under: uncultured bacterium
Lineage: Bacteria
Description: bacterial SSU rRNA
Rfam family: Bacterial small subunit ribosomal RNA
Source: RNAcentral
GAGUUUGAUCUUGGCUCAGGAUGAACGCUGGCGGCGUGCUUAACACAUGCAAGUCGAGCGAAGCGCUUAAACGGAUUUCUUCGGAUUGAAGUUUUUGUGACUGAGCGGCGGACGGGUGAGUAACGCGUGGGUAACCUGCCUCAUACAGGGGGAUAACAGUUAGAAAUGGCUGCUAAUACCGCAUAAGCGCACGGUACUGCAUGGUACAGUGUGAAAAACUCCGGUGGUAUGAGAUGGACCCGCGUUGGAUUAGCUAGUUGGCAGGGUAACGGCCUACCAAGGCGACGAUCCAUAGCCGGCCUGAGAGGGUGGACGG